CUCUGUAUGAAGAUAAGCAAGGGACACUUUAGAGCUGGCAUAGGUGUGGAUUCAUUGAGAUGGCUAUGACCUAUGUACCAAGAUUAGAGAAAGAAUGUGGUGGAGCUGAACUGUUGAAGACAGUCCUGGAAGACUCUCAUCUCUCUCCUUGUACAAAAUUCUUCUUGUGUCAUUGGGCCCUGGAUAUAUUUUCAAAGGAAGGAAAAUGAUAACCUUAAUGGGCUCUGAUAUGCUUUGCAUUCACCUGAUUGGCCUGGAUAAUAGUUUCUGAUAUAUCGAGGAGCAGAACUGAAGAAGACAUACAAUACCACACAGACAGAAAAAAACAUGUAUCUGAGUGCAAGAGACACAUUAAAAUGUAAAUAAUGUAUAAGGC
This 376-nucleotide long non-coding RNA is filed under the name Heterocephalus glaber (naked mole-rat). RNAcentral describes it as "lncRNA (ENSHGLG00100034158.1)". Lineage: Eukaryota; Metazoa; Chordata; Mammalia; Rodentia; Bathyergidae. The record is from RNAcentral.